This 1421-nucleotide long non-coding RNA is filed under the name Rattus norvegicus (Norway rat). RNAcentral's name for it is "long non-coding RNA NONRATT006744". Lineage: Eukaryota; Metazoa; Chordata; Mammalia; Rodentia; Muridae. The record is from RNAcentral.
UUUCGGUUUUGGAUGAGUUUAUUAAGCAUUCAGCGAGCGAACAAAGAAGCAACAGCAAAUUACAGGUAGAGAGAAGCAGCAGAGAGAAAGUAAAACAUUACCAAAUCACGGGCUCGCAAUGUCGCGCAGAGACAGCUGGAGUAAGCCAUUCAAGAGAGCAAACACAAGGUACUGGUGAGGUGGGGUGGGUGCACCACAGCAGAGAUGACUUUCAUGCUGCGGCCCUGAUGGAGAAUGCUGGACACAGCCAAGUUCUCUGCAGGACCAGCUUCUGCCUUUCCCACUGUAAACGUUUUAUAUUAUGUAAAUGAUGUCAACUUCUGUUGGAAAUCUUUAACUUCUAGCUGUUCUUGAGGACAUCCUGUUUUUAACACCGUUAGCCACUCACUGUUCUCCCCUCCACGGUAACAGAAUCAAGGAGCCAGCCUGAAAGGUAAUGGGGUUUUAGAGGACUUCCAGACAGAAGUACGGUUUGAUCUGGAGUGUAUCGGGACAACUCCAUUUCCAGAGCCAGCAUCUCGGUGAAGUCAAACAGCACGUGACAGCUUACCUACAUGGCCUUUAUACCUGUGCACGCAGUCCAGCUCAUGUGUGCUUCCCGCAGAUGCCAUGCUUGCUUAUUGCACCCCUGAGGCCCUGUCUCCUUGGGCUCCCCUUCUUAAGUGUUGUUCCAUUUCAGAAGUCCAUGCAUACCCAGCUGUGCCACAUGCCUACGUUUACACAUGCCCCUUGUCCUCGCCCCUUGUCCUCUCCCCUUGUCUCCUCGUUUAAUUACUUCAUCUCCUGUGUCAGUACCGGAUACCCAAGGGUGUAUGCUCGGACUCGUGGUCUUCUCUGGUUGGUCUAACAGGGACUCACUGAACAUCCCGUGCUGUGUUAGAUGCAUGUGCGGCUCCAGGUUGUCUCUGAGGGCACAGCUGGAGCAUGUUGGCUGAGGGCACCUGUGUUGUCCAGCCUGGCAUAGUCCUUGGUGACAGUAACACUGAGACUCUGUGGUACUCAAGAACGCCCACCCCACCUGAGGCCUCUUCUUCCUUUUAUUUCUUGAAGAGCCAGGAGUGUGCUUAGCUCCUUCCCAGAAGUAAAGUCGCAGGUCAGGCAGGCCCUGUGCACCCUGGUGGGUAGUGUUAGGCUUGCCUUUUUACUGAGCACCGCUGCUAAGGGGAUGUUAGCAAUCCCAGUCCACCCCAGAUACAACAUCAAUGAUGGUGGACUCCAUCCAAGCUAGUUUGCUCAGCCAUUGGAUUUCUCUGGAGGUCACUUUCGUGAAAAGGGGUUACUCAAAAGCAGUGCCAUCAGUGAGAAGUCUGCCCUAGCAGAGAGGACAGCUGACCUGCAGAACCUGAGCCUCCCUCCUUCCAGGCAGGAGUGAUUCCCAUACAACAGCUGGGAGACCAGAUGCUACCCUCCUUUUUUGAGAU